GGAUAGCUCGGCGAAAGCCGGAUUAAUACCGCAUACGAUCUACAGAUGAAAGCGGGGGAUCGCAAGACCUCGCGCUAUCGGAGCGGCCGAUAUCUGAUUAGCUAGUUGGUGAGGUAAAGGCUCACCAAGGCGACGAUCAGUAGCUGGUCUGAGAGGAUGAUCAGCCACACUGGGACUGAGACACGGCCCAGACUCCUACGGGAGGCAGCAGUGGGGAAUUUUGGACAAUGGGGGAAACCCUGAUCCAGCCAUUCCGCGUGAGUGAAGAAGGCCUUCGGGUUGUAAAGCUCUUUCGGCCGGAACGAAACGGCCCGUGCUAAUACCACGGGUUACUGACGGUACCGGAAGAAGAAGCACCGGCUAACUACGUGCCAGCAGCCGCGGUAAUACGUAGGGUGCAAGCGUUAAUCGGAAUUACUGGGCGUAAAGCGUGCGUAGGCGGCGGCUUGUGUCAGGUGUGAAAGCCCCGGGCUUAACCUGGGAAUUGCGCUUGAAACUAGGUCGCUAGAGUCUGCCAGAGGGGGGUGGAAUUCCACGUGUAGCAGUGAAAUGCGUAGAGAUGUGGAGGAACACCGAUGGCGAAGGCAGCCCCCUGGGGUAAGACUGACGCUCAGGCACGAAAGCGUGGGAGCAAACA
RNAcentral lists this ribosomal RNA (637 nucleotides) under uncultured soil bacterium. Its description in RNAcentral is "bacterial SSU rRNA". It matches the Rfam family "Bacterial small subunit ribosomal RNA", at positions 141 to 774 of the family's 1533-position model. The record is from RNAcentral.